GGAGAGCUCAAGGAGGGAUUUUCACCAAGCAACACUAGUUUUGGGGCAUUAUGAAACAAUUGGAGUCGUUGGAAGAGCUUGGAAGUCGGUUAUGGAAAUUUCUGAGCGAGGCACAUGCAUCUCUAGUGGCCUAGUGGGCGUAGCGUCAUGGUUGAUACAGAAACUUAGAUGAGCUGCACUUCCCGAGACGACCCACAGCCAACAGAGUCUCUUUUAAAUUACUAUAUUUACUUUCUAUCCAAUAUUGUAUUCCAGACGGUUGUUGUACUACAUUAUUUCCUAAAAAUUCCUCAUG
Molecule: non-coding RNA, 295 nt
Organism: Nicotiana tabacum (common tobacco)
Lineage: Eukaryota; Viridiplantae; Streptophyta; Magnoliopsida; Solanales; Solanaceae
Source: RefSeq, a predicted model, not a curated record